UUUUGAUAGAGGUCGCGAUCUUUAAAAGUACUAUUUGGUUAUCAGAUUAUUGCCAAAUACGAAAGGAAACAUCGCCGAAAUGUAAUGAGCUAUCUGAACUCAUUAUGUUGGGAUAAUAUAGAAUAUAUAUUAUACUCUCACAUUACCAUGUGGGGUGCUGUC
RNAcentral lists this non-coding RNA (162 nucleotides) under fish gut metagenome. RNAcentral describes it as "Lysine riboswitch". It matches the Rfam family "Lysine riboswitch aptamer". From Rfam's summary of the family: Riboswitches are metabolite binding domains within certain messenger RNAs that serve as precision sensors for their corresponding targets. Allosteric rearrangement of mRNA structure is mediated by ligand binding, and this results in modulation of gene expression. This family includes riboswitches that sense lysine in a number of genes involved in lysine metabolism, including lysC. The record is from RNAcentral.